CACAUUUUUAAACGCAGCCUGUUUGAAAUAACUUCGGAAUAACAACUAUCACUAGGAAGUUAUUGAAUACCAUCAUCCCCUGGCCAGCAACUUGUGCUGCACGCAGACCUCAUGACAGAACGACGAUAAAAAUGCCAGGGCUAAUUUCUACCACGGCGAUCAGCGCGUCGCAUUAAUCCAGGCAGCAAACUGUAAGGAAUGUGUAAGGGACUACGAGAACGUUGCCCAUUCCUUGUGUUUCUACGUGAAAUGCAUUUCUAGCCACACCCAUAAAGAACUUGUCUCUCCUGACAGUACACAGUGGGUUUUAUGCCUUUUGAACUGGUUUGGCUGUGCUGUGUGGACGGCUCGUUUACCUCUACAGGAGAAGGAUGAACCUCCAAGAGAACCCAGCAGAAUACCUUUCAAAUAGACCUAUCUGUAACCUUGGUAAAAAUAACUAUGGAGAUAAUGAUAAUGGAUAAUUAUAAACUUCAUAACUGGCAAAACAAGACUCUGCAUUUUAGAAGAUGAAUUGCCUUACCCUGUCCAGUAACCCACUUUAUGGUGCAGUAAUGGAUCUGCAUCCAGAGGGUUAUGCAAUGAAAUGGAGCCUUUGGCAAGCUGGAAUCACACUGGAAAUCAAGCAACAUCUUCAUGGGGUUUUUCACACAUUCAUAUUUGUAAAUCUGGAACUUAUCCCUUUUGACAUAAAGAGACAGUCCCUGCUUGGAAUGAUAAAAUUCUAGGACAGAUUAUGAAACAAUAAAGCAUUUAAAUAUUAUGGUGCAGCAGUACAACAGUAUAAUUACCCUUCCUUUUACUCAUUCAAGUGUAGUAUCCCUGAAAAGCUUUUUGCACUCCAGAUAAACUACUGACAAUACAUUAUAAAACAGUAAAUACAAUAUCAUAUAUAUUAAAAAAAAAAAUAUUUUUCAGACCUUUCUCUAGGUAAUUACUGAAACAGAUAAAAAUAUGGGGAAAUUAAGCAAAUACAGGCCCUGACCCAAAGGCCAAUGAACUCAGCAGAAGCACUGGUGUCGUAUGUAUUGUGAAUUACAAUUCACAAAUACAAAUAAAGAAUAUUAUUGUAUAUGUGUAAGGAUAAGGACUAGUUGUCUAGUUGUGGUGUCUAUGCAUUCCACUUGGAUAAAAUGAGAUUUUUUUCUCCAGCAGGUAGAGAGAGUUUCUCAGCAAGCAUGUAUCACCAAUAUUUAUGGGAGAGUUUGUGGUCCCAAAAGCACAGAGAUGCUGGGAAACAAAAAGGAAAGAAAAUGUACCCAAGGAGGAGAUCCAGCUGCUUCCAAGUCAUUUCUAUAAAUAAAAAUCUGAUGCGAACUCAUUAUCGUUUCCCU
Molecule: long non-coding RNA, 1334 nt
Organism: Parus major (Great Tit)
Lineage: Eukaryota; Metazoa; Chordata; Aves; Passeriformes; Paridae
Exons: 3
Source: RefSeq, a predicted model, not a curated record